This 254-nucleotide ribosomal RNA is filed under the name uncultured bacterium. Its description in RNAcentral is "partial 16S ribosomal RNA". It matches the Rfam family "Bacterial small subunit ribosomal RNA", at positions 524 to 776 of the family's 1533-position model. The record is from RNAcentral.
CACGUAGGCACCAAGCGGUGUCCGGAUUUAUUGGGCGUAAAGAGCUCGUAGGCGGUUCGGUAAGUCGGGUGUGAAAACUCUGGGCUCAACCCAGAGCCGGCACUCGAUACUGCUGUGACUCGAGUGCGGUAGGGGAGCGGGGAAUUCCUGGUGUAGCGGUGAAAUGCGCAGAUAUCAGGAGGAACACCAGUGGCGAAGGCGCCGCUCUGGGCCGUGACUGACGCUGAGGAGCGAAAGCGUGGGGAGCGAACAGG